AGCAAGUCCUUAACUAGCCAUGGA
This 24-nucleotide non-coding RNA is filed under the name Arabidopsis thaliana (thale cress). The record is from RNAcentral. Lineage: Eukaryota; Viridiplantae; Streptophyta; Magnoliopsida; Brassicales; Brassicaceae.